UACGUAGGGUGCGAGCGUUAAUCGGAAUUACUGGGCGUAAAGCGUGCGCAGGCGGUUUUGUAAGCCAGAUGUGAAAUCCCCGGGCUUAACCUGGGAAUGGCAUUUGGGACUGCAAGGCUUGAGUGCGGCAGAGGAGACUGGAAUUCCUGGUGUAGCAGUGAAAUGCGCAGAUAUCAGGAGGAACACCAAUUGCGAAGGCAGCUCGCUGGGACGUUACUGACGCUGAGACGCGAAAGCGUGGGGAGCAAACAGG
RNAcentral lists this ribosomal RNA (253 nucleotides) under uncultured bacterium. RNAcentral describes it as "partial 16S ribosomal RNA". It matches the Rfam family "Bacterial small subunit ribosomal RNA", at positions 524 to 776 of the family's 1533-position model. The record is from RNAcentral.